RNAcentral lists this ribosomal RNA (402 nucleotides) under bacterium. RNAcentral's name for it is "partial 16S ribosomal RNA". It matches the Rfam family "Bacterial small subunit ribosomal RNA", at positions 355 to 776 of the family's 1533-position model. The record is from RNAcentral.
UGGGGAAUUUUGCACAAUGGGGGAAACCCUGAUGCAGCGACGCCGCGUGAUUUAGAAGGCCUUCGGGUUGUAAAAAUCUUUUCUAUGGGAAGAAAAUGACAGUACCAUAGGAAUAAGGACCGGCUAAUUACGUGCCAGCAGCCGCGGUAAUACGUAAGGUCCGAGCGUUGUCCGGAAUCAUUGGGCGUAAAGGGUACGUAGGCGGGUAAGCAAGUUAGAAGUGAAAUCCUAUAGCUCAACUAUAGUAAGCUUUUAAAACUGCUCAUCUUGAGGUAUAGAAGGGAAAGUGGAAUUCCUAGUGUAGCGGUGAAAUGCGCAGAUAUUAGGAAGGAUACCAGUGGCGAAGGCGACUUUCUGGCCAUAACCUGACGCUGAAGUACGAAAGCGUGGGUAGCAAACAGG